Molecule: ribosomal RNA, 253 nt
Filed under: uncultured bacterium
Lineage: Bacteria
Description: partial 16S ribosomal RNA
Rfam family: Bacterial small subunit ribosomal RNA
Source: RNAcentral
UACGUAGGGUGCGAGCGUUGUCCGGAAUUAUUGGGCGUAAAGAGCUUGUAGGCGGUUUGUCGCGUCUGCCGUGAAAUUUCGAGGCUCAACCUCGAACUUGCGGUGGGUACGGGCAGACUAGAGUGUGGUAGGGGAGACUGGAAUUCCUGGUGUAGCGGUGAAAUGCGCAGAUAUCAGGAGGAACACCGAUGGCGAAGGCAGGUCUCUGGGCCACUACUGACGCUGAGGAGCGAAAGCGUGGGUAGCAAACAGG